CGGACCGGCGCACGGGUGCGUAACGCGUAUGCAACCUACCAUCAACAGGGGGAUAACACUGAGAAAUUGGUACUAAUACCCCAUAAUAUCUCAUGCGGCAUCGCAUGGGGUUGAAAACUCCGGUGGUUGAUGAUGGGCAUGCGUUGUAUUAGCCGGUUGGUGAGGUAACGGCUCACCAAGGCGACGAUACAUAGGGGGACUGAGAGGUUAACCCCCCACAUUGGUACUGAGACACGGACCAAACUCCUACGGAAGGCAGCAG
RNAcentral lists this ribosomal RNA (262 nucleotides) under uncultured bacterium. RNAcentral's name for it is "partial 16S ribosomal RNA". It matches the Rfam family "Bacterial small subunit ribosomal RNA", at positions 91 to 354 of the family's 1533-position model. The record is from RNAcentral.